Gloeopeniophorella convolvens is the source of this 83-nucleotide non-coding RNA. NCBI's taxonomy places the organism in Eukaryota, Fungi, Basidiomycota, Agaricomycetes, Russulales. The record is from the annotation of a GenBank genome assembly.
GGCGCUAUAGUGUAGUGGCUAUCACAGCGGAUUCUGACAGUCGGCAAUUUCCGCUAACCCAGGUUCGAACCCUGGUAGCGCCU